AAAUUUUAAUUUUUCCCUCAUUUUCCAUCUUUUUUUUCUUCUGUUUUUUUAACCUCCCUUUUCUCGUAUGACGUUUAUUUUAUCUUCAUUUCUCCUUAUAUCUUCAAUCUCUAAGGAAUAAUUCUUUUUUUUUCAAAUUCCUUUUCUCCGGUUCCUCUACUUAGGGUGGAUCAUCCAAUUAGUACUUGUUUUUCCUCUUUCAUUCUUGACUUUUUAACAUUGUUCUUCACUCCCCCAAUUUCUAAAACCCUAGGUCAAUGGUUACAAUCCCCUGUCUUGUUCAAAAAAUUUGUUCUUAUGUUUCAGAAUUGUGUUUGCUCUAGUAUCUGCUUCAGAAGAUUACAACUACUUUGCGUGGGUUCGCUGUUGCUUCAGGGGUUCACGGCUGGUUUACUGGUGCUUCACAACGACAGCUGCUUCACUAGUUUUGUUUUUCACUCAGUUUGUAGUGGUUUCACGAGUUCACGGGGCAGUGCUUCUCUAGUUUGCUGGUGCUUCACGGGGGACAACUACUUCACCGAUUUUGUUGCUUCGUCCAUUAUUAUGUGCAGUCUCAUAUUCAAAUUAAUGUAUAUUGUGAUUGUGUAAUAUUGGUGGGCAUUUCACUUUGAAAUCCUCUUAGAUUCUUAAUUUUUUAUUAACCUGUUAAUUUAGCUUCUGCCUUCUUGUUUGUUUUGACUAUGCUUGUAGCCUUCUGCAUCAAAGAAGCAUUGACAUUUUAUUACCACAUGUAUAAAAGUUUUGGAUAUGAUUUGUCUAAAGUUGUCAGCCCUGAAUCAGAUCAAGGUACUUUCUAAUUCAUACAGAUACCUUGUCAUCAAAAUGAAUACAGAUGAAGGUACAUCAAAAUGCAUAAAAACUUUCCAGGUCUUAUUAUAUCGUUGAGUUGUCUUUCAUGUUGAUGUAGUUGUUAACUAUAAUAUCAUCCAUUGAUUAUCUGAACUACUCUGAGAAAACAAAUACUUAUUACAUUGUAAAUGCCCUAUACUAUUUUCACCCUGUUGAAAGGUAUUCCUUCUGACUUUCUUUUCUGUAGAUAGUUUUGUUCAUUAUAUUAGUUUAAGUUAUGCACCUAGCGAUAAUGCUUAACAUUUUGCAUUGGCAGGUUGAGAAGCUACUUCUGCGAGAGAACAAGAAGAAAAGGCUUGCCGGGAUGUGGGUGAGAUGAAUUGUUGAAGCUUUAGAGAAGCCCUGGAUCUUGUUAAGGAGGCCAUUAGCAGAAUUGGUUAUAAUGACAAGAUAAAAAUAGUUCUUGAUGUUGUUGCUAUAAAUUUUUGCAUAGUCAACUCUCAUGUUUCUGGAAAAGUGACUGGAGUGAGUGAAAGCUUAGUAGCUCUCCAGCUUUGGUAGCAUUCAUUGGAAAUUAUAGUGAGUACUUUGGUAUGGCAACUGAUUUUGAUGUUGUGGUUUACUAGAUGCUGGCUAAUGAUCUCAUUCAUGGACUCUUCCUAGCUCUUUCAUGGCCUUCCCAAAUAUGAUCAUCAUGAUUGAAAAUGAAAAAGCAUGAUCAUCAUGAUUGAUAUCGCAUUAGAAUAAUGUUAUUAAUUUUUUGUUAUGUCUAUUUUUCUGAUUUAAAACAAAUAACAUUGUAAUGAGUUGCUAAUUUUAACUUUUACUUUUUGUCAUUUAUAUUGUUUGAUAUUAAAAUUGUAGACUUUAUUCUUUGAUCCAUUUAUAAAGGUUAUAUGUACAAA
Vigna unguiculata (cowpea) is the source of this 1694-nucleotide long non-coding RNA. Lineage: Eukaryota; Viridiplantae; Streptophyta; Magnoliopsida; Fabales; Fabaceae. The record is from RefSeq and is a predicted model, not a curated record.